CAGGCUUCAGCAGUGCUUAAAUUCUGAUCCUUUGAAGACACAUAGAACUGAAAAUGAUCAAUAGGAAAAUGAAGCCACCAUCAAUUCUGGAAACAGCACCACUUCUUGAAGAUCUGGAAAGGAUCACAGAAACAUAGACUCACUGAGGCUGUAAGGGACCACUGAAACUGGCUCACACAGCUCCAAGUAAGACAAGAUGUUUCUGCUUCUAUGAAACUUUUGGACCUUUUACCGAAUAUUUGUAUCUAAACUCCUUUACCAAGAGCA
Molecule: long non-coding RNA, 267 nt
Organism: Colius striatus (speckled mousebird)
Lineage: Eukaryota; Metazoa; Chordata; Aves; Coliiformes; Coliidae
Exons: 3
Source: RefSeq, a predicted model, not a curated record